ACAAAAAGUGAUAAGAUUAUUAUAAUGAAAGUGUAUACUGACAUUAUAAUAGUUUUAUUCAUGUUCUAUAAACAAACACCUUCACGUGGUAUAGAAUGAACAAUGUAUUGGAAUAGUACAUUGACUAAGAUUUGUAAUGUAAGAAUUGUGAAUGUUAAAAAUGAUGUGUUUUAAUAUGUAGGGAAAUAUAUUAAAAGAAAUCAUUUAAAUGUGGUUUAAACUUUUGUGGUAAAUAUUUUUAGUUAAAAAUUUUGUUUUAGAUGUAUAAUAUAAAAUUAUAUAACUAAUAAACACUUCCUAU
RNAcentral lists this unclassified non-coding RNA (301 nucleotides) under Nosema granulosis. RNAcentral's name for it is "intergenic spacer". Lineage: Eukaryota; Fungi; Microsporidia; Nosematidae. The record is from RNAcentral.